UACGAAGGGGGCUAGCGUUGCUCGGAAUCACUGGGCGUAAAGCGCACGUAGGCGGAUCGUUAAGUCAGGGGUGAAAUCCUGGAGCUCAACUCCAGAACUGCCUUUGAUACUGGCGAUCUUGAGUCCGGAAGAGGUGAGUGGAACUCCUAGUGUAGAGGUGGAAUUCGUAGAUAUUAGGAAGAACACCAGUGGCGAAGGCGGCUCACUGGUCCGGUACUGACGCUGAGGUGCGAAAGCGUGGGGAGCAAACAGG
RNAcentral lists this ribosomal RNA (253 nucleotides) under uncultured bacterium. RNAcentral describes it as "partial 16S ribosomal RNA". It matches the Rfam family "Bacterial small subunit ribosomal RNA", at positions 524 to 776 of the family's 1533-position model. The record is from RNAcentral.